CCGAGGAGCUUCAGGCGGCGCGCUCGAGAUUGGUGGAAGUCCGUGUCGCUCCCGCCCCGCCUCCGGGCGCGGCGCGCGAUUGGCUGGCGUCCGCAAGGUCUCCUCUCGGGAUCGAGUCUGGGCGGCGCGGACCAGGCCCGGGGCGGCAGCAGAGGCGCCCGGCGGAGGUGGCUGUGGCGCGAGGCAGGUGAGCUCCUGGGUGGGGGUGGAGGGCCGGGGCCCGGCGAGGCCGGCUGCGGGCACAGGACUGGGGCCAAGGCGUCCCUCAACGCGGGCGGGAGCGGCGGGCAGGCGGCGACCGGCGCGGGCCGAGCCUCGGGCCCCGCCUGGGCGGCCAACGGCCGCCGCCCCCUCCUCAGCCCCGAGCGUCCCCGCACCUGGCCCGGGUUCGGAGCAGGCCUGGCCCGGGGCGUCCCCUCCGCCCGACGUCAGUGGCGUGCUGGGGUCCCGGCGGGGCGCUGGGGACGCGUGCGCGUCCGAAAGCCUCUGUCGCCGCCGCCCCCCGCCCGCCCCGGGUGCUCCCGCCCCCCGCCCCGGGUACACCCGGGCGACCCCCCCCCCCCACGUAUCGUGGAUCCCCGCUCCCGCCCACACACCUGGGCGAUCUGGCACCCUCGACCCCCCACACCCGUGCGCCCCCGACCCUCCUCACCCGCGCGCCCCCGACCCUCCUCACCCGCGUUGCCCCGACCCCAGCCCUCCCCCCACACACACCCCCGGGCGCUCCCGUACCCCGCCUCCCCCCGCACCCGCCUCAUUCGGGCGCCCCUUACCUCUGUCCCCCCUCUCACUCGUCCGGUUCCCGGCCUCGGGGUGCUCGGCCUCCCAGGAGUCCUGGGUUGGGUCGGGGGGCCGCCCUGCGUGUCCGGCUCGGGACGCCCCCCUUUUCCUGCUCUGCGGCCCGCAGACAGAACGCACCUGUGCUGCCGGGCGGGGCCGUCACCCCACGUCGCAGUCGCGAGCCCCAGGCCCGGUCCCCGGUCCCCGGCCGCAGGGAACAACCGCCAGGGAGCCCGGUUGCUGCCGCGCUGCCGCUGUUGGUGGGCAGGGCUCCCCAGCGCCCCCCUCGCUCGGCUGCGUGCCCGUGCCCCUAACCCCACGUCGGAAAGGCUCGGCUCGGCUCGUGGGCGUUUUCUGAGCUUCCGGGGCUGCUGCCCAGGUGGGAGCUGCCCUGGGGCCUGGGUUUACAAGCCGUUUGUGCCCCCGGACGCCUCGGCCCAGAACCUUGGGUUUGGGUUUGUUUUCAUGCAUUUCGGUUUAUACAGUUAUUCCAAGUCGGGAAACUCAUGA
Molecule: long non-coding RNA, 1290 nt
Filed under: Felis catus (domestic cat)
Lineage: Eukaryota; Metazoa; Chordata; Mammalia; Carnivora; Felidae
Description: lncRNA (ENSFCAG00000051508.1)
Source: RNAcentral